AGCCAAAGCAAAAGCGGAAACUGCUUCAGGAACACUUGGAGCUCCUAUUUGUGGGAUUGCAUCUCUAAUUUAAUUGCCAUGGCUUAAUGCAAUCCUGGAUUUGUAGUUUGGUGAGCAUCAGCAUUUUUGGCAGAGAAGGCUUAAGACCUUGUAAAACUACAGCCCCCAUGAUUCCAAAGUGGGUAAUGUAAUGUGGGAUGAAAAGUUUUAUAUUUCUCCAUCUUCUAUCCAUUUUGUGAAAUGGGAGGAGGCAAUCCAGUGUGAUGGGGGUGUAUAAAUUAGCUAAUUCCUUUACAGGUGGAACACCAUGGAACGCGAUGUGAAAAAGAUGACUAUGAAUGCUUCCCCUCCCCCUUGUGGGAUGAGGUCCUAACUGUGCAGAGCUAAACUAGUUUAAUUGUUGGUGGAAAUGAGAAAAUAAAAGGAAAGGAAGAGAAGAGAUGGAAGGAUUCCUAUGAGUAUCAGGUUACAUAUCAGAAGGCUAAGAUAGGUCAAUAAGAAAUUUGGAGGCUUUGGCUCUGUUCAGUGCUGCUUUGUCUAAGAUAUCUUUAACUCUUUUAACUGUUGAGUGUUGUUGAAUUUCUUACAUAUAGAUGAACAUGAGCUGAGGAAAAAGUGGAAUAUAAAAUUAUCAUCAUCAUAUCCUCCUCUUUCUCUGAGUACCACAAGACAAGUGAAAGUCAACUUGUAAUAAACUUUUCUGGUGUAGAUAUAUCUAUCAGGCAAGUCUAGUGUUCAUCCAAAAUAUUUUGCUAUGUGAGCUAUUUGAGAGCUAUAAAGUAAGGUGCCAAAUACCCAAGCCAAGACAGAAAAAAAAUAAAAUAACCAACAAUUUGUUGACCUUCAAUGACCUCCAAAUCUGCAGCCAGUAUUCAAAUAGAGGUACAAAUGGAAGAAAGUUAUGAUUUACCUUUUAUAUAUUUUAAGCUCUUGCAUGUUCUAGAAAAUGAAUCAUAUGGAAAGAUAAGGCAUUUAAGAACUUUGGGAUGGCACAUGGAGAUCAUGUCUUGUUUCCUAUGCUGUUGCUCUCUGCUGAAGUUUUCUUCAACAAUUCAGACCAAGCUGUAAUGCUUUGCCAUGUUCCCUUCAAUUUCAGUCCUGCAUAAUGGUAAUCACAUUUCAUGCUUCAUGGUAUAAGCAGAUCACCAAGGAGUUAGAUGGGAAAUUAUUUUGCCUUCUCUGCAUGUACAAUACUGGGAAGGGCUUUCCUGUUUCUCAGAACUGCUGGAGCUAGUUGCUGUGGGAGACAGGAGAUUAGCAUAGAUUGACUCAUGAAAGACAUAUGUUGAAUUAGAAAAACAGUGAAAUGGCCUGCCGUCCUGAUUGCUCACAAGUCCAGGGUGUUACAUAAAUAUGGUGGGUGCAAAAAACAGUUUCUGUUGACUCCAUCAAAUGAUGAGGCUAUGUCAACAGAUUAUGAUCUGAAACACAUAGAUACUCUCCAAUCUUUUCUUGGGGUCACGAUAAGGCCAAUGAGAGGCCUCAGCCAAGAAUAAAAAGAUAUCACUGUACAUGCUCCUUGUUCAGAGAUCGAUUCAGCUGAUCCAGUUACUUCAGAGAAGCAACUCUUGUGCUAUUGUGCUUCAGAUAAAAUCCCGAGGAAUCUACUUGAUCUUCAUCUACUACUUGUCCUUUGAGAGCCCUGGGUGUUUUUACAUGUUUCUACACAGGAAAUUGAAAAAUAAGUCGAUGGUCAAUCAACUUAGGGAUUGUGUGAAAAACCACACUUUAGAAACAAUGAAAUACCUGGAACCAACACUUGAAGCUUUUGUCAUGUGAUGAGCUCCGUGCGUUGCCAAUUCUCAAAUGUGUAGAAACACUGAUUUUAUUGCGUGUGAUGAAGUCCUAUCUGAAAACUGUUGAACAACAGAGCUCUAGUUGUGCUGGCAGUGUGAUCCUGAAAGUUGUUAUCCAACAGAUAAUGUUUGCAAGCUCUGACUAUUACUAAUAUUGAGACUCCAACACUUCUGUCAUUAUCUAGGCAUUUCUCACUCUAUUUUGAUUCAUUUUGGUCUGCAACUAAGUUGGGAUGGGACUUAUGGAGUAAUUACUCCAGUAGCCAUAAGCAGACAUGAUCUUCUUUUUCACAGUUUUUUUUAUUCAAUCCAAGUGACUCUUCCCAGGACUAACGGAUUACAUGGAUACUUCAUCACAGACAUAGCAGGUGGCCUGCUUGAACAUUCUCGUGAUACUCUAGUGGGAAGGAUAACUAACAGAAGAGAAGAUUCAUGACUGAUUGUAACAUUACACUGUAUAAAGAACUCAUUGAAUUUCCAUUUAAGUUCCAAAAGGUCAAUGGCUGCACUGUGAAACCCAUGUGCUACAAAAGCCACAGAGAAGUUACUGGGAAACAUUUCCUAAAAGGGAGCAGCUAUAUGUGAACAACUUUUCUCAAUAGCCAGAAAAACUCUUGGCUGUAGCUGUAGCUCCUAGAAUCUGGCAGCCAAGCCUUUCAUACUGGGCAAACUUCAGGCUGGAAGAAUCUACUUUGGGUUUUAGGAUUGCGGUUUUUUAACUAGAACUUUGAGAGCUAUCAGUUUGAGCUUGCUUCAAAAGACUUUUUUUUUAAAAAAGAAUUCUGAGCCUAAACCUAAGAAUUAACCUAAAAAUUUCAGCUCAGAGGUGUCAGACUGUCAGAAAAGGAAAAAUGGAAAGAAAUUAUAACAGGAAGAAGAAUGAAUUAAGGAGUAUGGGGAGAAAGUGGCUUGCUGGAAUGCACUGCAGCAGUCUACCUGUUAUGGUUGAGCCUUCUGGCUCCGGUACUGGGAGACGGGGUUGUAAGACUCCUCGAGAGUCAGACUCUUUUGAGGAGCGUGAAAGGAAACGGCUUCGGGACUUAUUUGCAGAACCAACAGAUGAAGACUCAUUUGAGGGUUUUACCGAGGGAAUGGAGGAAGAGAUGGUUAGCUCAGAGGAGGAUGACAUGGAGUGGACUCGUGUGAGGGAGGAUUUGGGUGUCACCGGCACUGAUAGCAUGGGGGGCGAUUGGCGGGUUGCAGGAUCAGACCCAUGGACAGGCUGGAGGGAUGGAACGGGAUCCGCAGCUGGGGAUGCUGUGGGGCGUAGUCAAAGGUGUUUUAGCUCUGAUGAGGAUGAUGAUGAUGAGGCACCUGGAAUUAGGAUAGCAGCUGACAGCGAUGAGGAGUUAUGAACUGGAUAAAAUGGGGUUUAGGAUCAAUGGCUAAUUGCGUUGGGCAAGGUAAUCUGGACGAACGCUUGGGCUCUUGUUUGGGAACUUCCUGAAGACGGGUGUGAUUCGUUGCUGGAUACCUUGGACCUCCGUCGUCUUUUUGACGGACAUUAAUUACCUACUCUGGAUUGACGCUGGACUGACUGACUGACUACGACCUUGGACUAUCCUUUCUGUGGCUAUCGGUGGGACUCGUGGAACCUUAGACGCCUGCACCUGGCUUUCGACCUCGGACCGGACUGGGACCCUGCUGACCGCUGUGAUCCUGAUUGAUGUGCCUGGACCCGGAUUUCGCUCGUUGCACGGAGGAGUAACAGCCUGAGUUACUCAUCUGUAGAUUUUUGGUAGCAGAGAGGAAUCUGCUGCCAGCUUUUGAUGUUCAUUUUGACCUUUGUUUAUCAACUUUUGUUUGUUUAAACUGCCAGGCUGAAGUAAGCACUUUUGAGUUAACUCGGAUUAAACUCCUGUUUAAUCCGGUUUAUUCCUUUGAACCGUUUUAGUUUAAACGGAGCUGUUUCUGUUACUUUUCACACUGAAGACAAGUGUUUGCCUAGUCCUUUGUUUUCUACGGGCAUUUUUGUGUUCUGUAACUUUAAUAAACUGUGUUGUACUCUA
Molecule: long non-coding RNA, 3805 nt
Organism: Anolis carolinensis (green anole)
Lineage: Eukaryota; Metazoa; Chordata; Lepidosauria; Squamata; Anolidae
Exons: 2
Source: RefSeq, a predicted model, not a curated record